AGUGAACGCUGGCGGUAGGCCUAACACAUGCAAGUCGAACGGCAGCACAGUAAGAGCUUGCUCUUACGGGUGGCGAGUGGCGGACGGGUGAGGAAUACAUCGGAAUCUACUUUUUCGUGGGGGAUAACGUAGGGAAACUUACGCUAAUACCGCAUACGACCUACGGGUGAAAGCAGGGGAUCUUCGGACCUUGCGCGAUUGAAUGAGCCGAUGUCGGAUUAGCUAGUUGGCGGGGUAAAGGCCCACCAAGGCGACGAUCCGUAGCUGGUCUGAGAGGAUGAUCAGCCACACUGGAACUGGGACACGGUCCAGGGUCCUACGGGAGGCAGCAGGGGGGAAUAUCGAACAAUGGGCGCAAGCCUGAUCCAGCCAGACGGCGUGGGUGAAGAAGGCCUUCGGGUUGUAAAGCCUUUUUGUUGGGAAAGAAAAGAAGCAGGUUAAUACCCCGCUGUUCUGACGGUACCCAAAGAAUAAGCACCGGCUAACUCCGU
This 491-nucleotide ribosomal RNA is filed under the name uncultured bacterium. RNAcentral's name for it is "partial 16S ribosomal RNA". It matches the Rfam family "Bacterial small subunit ribosomal RNA", at positions 29 to 506 of the family's 1533-position model. The record is from RNAcentral.